RNAcentral lists this ribosomal RNA (550 nucleotides) under uncultured bacterium. RNAcentral describes it as "partial 16S ribosomal RNA". It matches the Rfam family "Bacterial small subunit ribosomal RNA", at positions 355 to 920 of the family's 1533-position model. The record is from RNAcentral.
UGGGGAAUAUUGCACAAUGGGCGAAAGCCUGAUGCAGCGACGCCGCGUGAGUGAUGAAGGCCUUCGGGUUGUAAAGCUCUGUCUUUUGGGACGAUAAUGACGGUACCAAAGGAGGAAGCCACGGCUAACUACGUGCCAGCAGCCGCGGUAAUACGUAGGUGGCAAGCGUUGUCCGGAUUUACUGGGCGUAAAGGAUGCGUAGGCGGAUUUUUAAGUGAGAUGUGAAAACCCUAAGCUUAACUUGGGGACUGCAUUUCAUACUGGAAAUCUAGAGUGCGGGAGAGGAGAAUGGAAUUCCUAGUGUAGCGGUGAAAUGCGUAGAGAUUAGGAAGAACACCAGUGGCGAAGGCGAUUCUCUGGACCGUAACUGACGCUGAGGCAUGAAAGCGUGGGUAGCAAACAGGAUUAGAUACCCUGGUAGUCCACGCCGUAAACGAUGAGUACUAGGUGUAGGAGGUAUCGACCCCUUCUGUGCCGCAGUUAACACAAUAAGUACUCCGCCUGGGAAGUACGAUCGCAAGAUUAAAAACUCAAAUGAAUUGACGGGGUC